Molecule: ribosomal RNA, 448 nt
Filed under: uncultured bacterium
Lineage: Bacteria
Description: bacterial SSU rRNA
Rfam family: Bacterial small subunit ribosomal RNA
Source: RNAcentral
AGCGAACGCUGGCGGAAUGCUUAACACAUGCAAGUCGCACGCCCUGGCAACAGGGAGUGGCGGACGGGUGAGUAACGCGUAGGAAUAUAUCCGAAGGUGGGGGAUAACCCUGGGAAACUGGGGCUAAUACCGCAUGGGGCCUGAGGGUCAAAGCCGCGAGGCGCCUUUGGAGUAGCCUGCGUCCGAUUAGCUAGUUGGUGGGGUAAAGGCCUACCAAGGCUGCGAUCGGUAGCUGGUCNGAGAGGACGAUCAGCCACACUGGGACUGAGACACGGCCCAGACUCCUACGGGAGGCAGCAGGUGGGGAAUAUUGGUCAAUGGACGCAAGUCUGAACCAGCCAUGCCCGCGUGAAGGAUGAAGGCGUUAUGCGUUUGUAAACUUUCUUUUAUCUAGGGAAGAAACCUUAGUAUUCUUACUAAGCCGACGGUACCAGAGAAUAAGCACCGG